Molecule: long non-coding RNA, 699 nt
Filed under: Nicotiana benthamiana
Lineage: Eukaryota; Viridiplantae; Streptophyta; Magnoliopsida; Solanales; Solanaceae
Description: long non-coding RNA (NBEN_LNC017651)
Source: RNAcentral
CAAACCAUCUCAUAACAAUCUUAUUCCAAUUCAGAACUUGCAACAUUGUCAGUCAUACUCCACUAAAUUAUUUGAGCUUCAAAAUCAUGAAUCGCAAGAUUGCUAGAGCUCCUGAAGCAGCAAUAGAAGGUUUUAGGGGUACAAAGCCUUUAUCAAGAAGGGGUCAAAUAAAAUCAAGAAUUGCAGUAAAUGCUUUUCAUUCCAUCAUUUCUGUCAAAAGCCUCUUCACAUCAUCAUCAUUAUCAUCAUUCUAUCAGAAAAAGCUAAGAAUAGUGAAUUGGAGAAUCGGUGAUCAAGAGGUCAUGGAUUCAAGUCGUGAAAACGGUCUUUUAUGGAAAAUAUAGGGUAAGGUUGCGUACAAUAAACCCUUAUAGUCUGAUCCUUCCCUGAAUUCUGUGCAUAACUGCAGCUUGGUGCACCAGGUUGUCCUUUUUAUCCAAACAAAUGGUAGUAUUUGUUUCAUUUCUUAUUUUCCUUUUCUAUGCCCUGUAACUUAUUAGAGAGAUGAAACAAUUUUCUGUUAGGAAUGUUGAUAUUUAUCAUGUAGAAAGAUCUCUUUGAUCCCAAAAAAAGGAAAAAGAAUCUUGAUUUCUGCAAAUUAACAAUUGCACUCACCCUUCUUCGUGUGUUUUCAGUUCUCAUAUUGGAUUUAAAAUUUUGAUAUAGGGUAAAUAUGCUGGCUAUAGGUAUAUUAACAAG